ACCCCUACGGAGGCAGCAGUGGGGGAUAUUGCACAAUGGGCGAAAGCCUGAUGCAGCGACGCCGCGUGGGGGAUGAAGGCUUUCGGGUUGUAAACCUCUUUCGCUACCGAACAAGGCCGCAGUUUUUGUUGUGGUUGAGGGUAGGUGGAUAAGAAGCGCCGGCUAACUACGUGCCAGCAGCCGCGGUAAUACGUAGGGCGCGAGCGUUGUCCGGAAUUAUUGGGCGUAAAGAGCUCGUAGGCGGUUUGUUGCGUCUGCUGUGAAAACGCGGGGCUUAACUCCGCGCGUGCAGUGGGUACGGGCAGGCUAGAGUGCGGUAGGGGAGAUUGGAAUUCCUGGUGUAGCGGUGGAAUGCGGCAGAUAUCAGGAGGAACACCGAUGGCGAAGGCAGAUCUCUGGGCCGUUACUGACGCUGAGGAGCGAAAGCAUGGGGAGCGAACAGGAUUAGAUACCCUGGUAGGCGUAGU
Molecule: ribosomal RNA, 467 nt
Filed under: uncultured bacterium
Lineage: Bacteria
Description: bacterial SSU rRNA
Rfam family: Bacterial small subunit ribosomal RNA
Source: RNAcentral